This 169-nucleotide non-coding RNA is filed under the name Clostridium sp. RNAcentral's name for it is "T-box sequence". It matches the Rfam family "T-box leader". Rfam says of the family: Uncharged tRNA acts as the effector for transcription antitermination of genes in the T-box leader family. T-boxes are found upstream of many aminoacyl-tRNA synthetase genes and some amino acid biosynthetic genes usually in Gram-positive bacteria. The record is from RNAcentral. Lineage: Bacteria; Bacillati; Bacillota; Clostridia; Eubacteriales; Clostridiaceae.
AUAAGUGUGAUGAAAAAGAAAAAGUAUUUAUAAAGCUAAAAGAGAGUUAGUGGUUGGUGUAAACUAAUAGCAAAAAAAUAUGGGGAACUUUGGAGCACGAUUAUAACGAAGAGGAUAAUUAAAUUUAUCAAUUAGGGUGGAACCGCGGAAUAUAACUUUCGUCCCUAGC